Molecule: ribosomal RNA, 284 nt
Filed under: uncultured Eubacteriales bacterium
Lineage: Bacteria; Bacillati; Bacillota; Clostridia; Eubacteriales
Description: uncultured Clostridiales bacterium partial 16S ribosomal RNA
Rfam family: Bacterial small subunit ribosomal RNA (bases 46-284)
Source: RNAcentral
CUGCUUUGAUGAAGUUUUCGGAUGGAUUUAAAACAGCUUAGUGGCGGACGGGUGAGUAACGCGUGGGUAACCUGCCUCACACUGGGGGAUAACAGUUAGAAAUAGCUGCUAAUACCGCAUAAGCGCACGGUUCCGCAUGGAACAGUGUGAAAAACUCCGGUGGUGUGAGAUGGACCCGCGUCUAAUUAGCUAGUUGGCGGGGUAACGGCCCACCAAGGCGACGAUGCGUAGCCGAACUGAGAGGUUGACCGGCCACAUUGGUACUGAGACACGGACCAAACUCC